GUAAAAAAAUAUAUUUAAAUAUACUUUUAUUCAGAAAACAAGUUACAUUCUUUUAAAUAAACAAGUUUUAGUAUUUUACACAUUUUGCUUUGGAAGCAAACUUAUCUUGCCUUACAGUAAAAUGACAAAAAUAUUUUGCAGUCUGGUAUUUGUUGACAUGUUGACAUGAUUCACAUCAAAAUUGGUCUAAAAGAAGUGACAAGUGUUUACAACUCCAAUAUUAUUUCUGAGUCACUUGAUCUUCGACUUGGCCACUGCGUCAGUGCAGAGGGCAGGUUUUGAGAGGACAGUCAUAAACUGUAUUAUGGCCGAUCCCAUUCUCAAAAGAUGAGAAACCCAUUAUAUGAAACCUUGAGAAUAUGCUUGAUUGACAGAAAGAUUUUAAGAAAUUCCUUGUGCAACUGUGUGCGUGUGUUGGAACGGCUGAGGCUGCUCAGCUAUUGGCUGUUUCUGGUACAUUCAGAGUAAGUCACAGUCUCUGUGGUUACAGAGAAGCAGAGCUUCAGCCAAGACAGAAUCGCUGAGCACGUACCCUGUCCUCUCUCUGCUCGUAACACAACAAGGGAGCUACAACUGAGCCUGAAGAGGUGGAUAGACUGGAAGAGAUUGCAGGUUGUUCUCAUCCUGAGAGUCCAGAGCAUACAGAGCUGAAGUCCCUGUCUGAGCCUGUAACCAUGGAGACAAGUGAAAACUCCAGCACAGCAAACAUAAUUGACUGUGAAAUGGAAGUCCUGGAGACUGAGUUACCUGAGAGCAAGGACACAGGAAACAACGAUGAACAAGUCUGUUAUGAUGCUGACAUUUUAGAGUCCAUUAGUACAAAAGUUGUGUCUGACAUUUUAGCAGGCUUACCUCCUACGGAGACCAAGGCUGAUGAUCUGGAAGAUGUUUGCAGUACGAAAGAGGCGCUUGUCUUGGAGGAUACUCAAGAAGAACUUUAUCGCAAUGAGUCAAUUACCUCUUCAAUAUCUGACACUCCGUCAAGUGCUGAGAGUGUGUAUGAGAAUGAUGUCAUGCAUAAGAGACAAGAUUCUCUAAGACAGGAACCAAUGGAGAACAUAGCAUCCCAACCAGAUGAUGUUGACGAUGGAGAUAUGUUAGACCAAUUGGGUAUUGACUCACAGGAAGCCAUAUUAGAAAGUUUUGGAUGUGAAGAUCCAGAAGAAACCAUCCUUGAGCACUACAUCCGAGAGGAAGUUCUGUCAGACGUCUCCACAGAGUCUUGCCAUGACCCAGAUGAGCUAGAAGAGUGUCUUCGGGUCGAAAUAGCUGCGGUGUCAUCAGACAGCGACACCGAUGAUAAAUGGAGGAACAUCUUCUCUUCCUCCAUAAAUAAGGAAGAUGAUGAUUCCUACAUUGACAGUCUUGAGCUGAGUGCACAAGAACUCUUUAUUCAAAAACCUACAGUUGGGAAUACUGAGGACAUGUCAAAGGAAACUGAAGAGCUGGAGAUUCCGGUGGGAGAAGAAGUGCUAGAACAACCAGAAAAUGAGCCAGUUCAGCAAGCGCAAGAGAUAUCUUACAAUCCUUCCACACUGUUCCACGGCUUGUCCAAGAUUUCCGAAGACGAUGAGGAGCUUGGACGAGGCUCAGCAACCCACAAGAGCAAUUCAUUUGAUUCCGUCAAAUCCGAUUCCAGCAAAAAGGUGCCGAAAGAUUAUUGUGUGAUUCAGGAAAUGAAAAGCGAGAACGUCAGCACAGAGCAUGUGGAUUUCAAAGUUGCUCGCCAGCAGUGGCUAGAGAUCGAAGAGCAAACAAAAAACUUGACACACCAUCCAAGCACACCAACAACUCGAUCUGGAACCUGUCAAGGUAGUCACAGUUCCAUGUAUACACCUGUCCGCAACAUCGAAAGGCCGAAGAGGGAUCUUGAGUGCUUGUCGCUUGUAGAGGAUUACGCACACACCCAGUUCAGCCCUUGCUCUGAGGAUUCAGGUCUGGACGACUCUAGCUACAGAUCACCAUUUGAUGAUCCAGAGACCCCAACUGAGAAGGAGAUUCGCCUAACCUUGGAGCGUGAGGAGAACCUAAGGCGUGAGAGGGGAAUGUCAAAAUCAUACUCCAGUGACUGUGUACAGAUAAGGGCGAGAUCUGCCAACUUGAACCCUGGGAAACUAUGCCAAGAAGUCGAUGAGAAAAGGAAGAUGUUGGAAGACCAGGAUGAUGAUGAUGGAAGUAUAUCCAAAUCUCUCAGCAACAAGACGCCUUCUUUCAUCAUUACCUCCUCACCAACCAAGAGCGCACAAAAACAAGACAUGGCCGCCAAUAAUGUUAUCAUCCUCGAGCCAGAGCCUUUUCCUCCAAGUCCAAGGCAUGGAAAGAUGGUGUCCUCCAAAUCUGCUGACUGGAGACCUGAAGAUACCCCUAAUGUCAUAAUUUUGGAGACAUCGAACCUCAUCAUUCGAAGUGCAUCUGAGUUCAACUUGAAUUCUGACUCUGAAGAAACUCCACAGAAGAUGUUCCUCAACAACCCGUUUUUUAAGCUGCGGUCUAGGAGUACGAUAUCUCUAGUUGAUGAGGAGAUUAUGACGGUGAAGCAGCGAGAAGAGGAACUCAGGCGUCAAAGAGCCAGUGUUUACUCGAAGGAUCACUUCCUGAUGUCUCCAAACUGUUUGGACAGCUCAUCAUUUACAGAUGAUGUGCCACUUAAAUGUAAAUCAUCCCCUUCAUCUCCAAUGAAAACAUGCAGAAUGGAUCGUUCAGCUUUGUCAUGUGAUCAUCGAUUUCCUGAACCCUACAAUGGAGGCCGACGUAAAAGUGCCAUGGCUCUGCGCUGGGAGGCAGGGGAGUUUGCGAACAAUGAGUAGAAAUGGACACUGACGCCAAUUUGCAGCUGGUUUACGUAAGAUAAUUUUCAAUGCUCAAACUCGUCUGUUUAUUGUGAUAGCAUAUACACCUGCUACUGCUGCUUGUGUGACUUUGUUAAUGAUCCAGAAAAAAUCUGCAUAUGCCGAGAUGCCUAAAUGUUAUUUGAAUGUACUGUUUCAU
This is a long non-coding RNA of Sinocyclocheilus grahami, 2988 nucleotides long. Ensembl lists it as uncharacterized. The record is from Ensembl. Lineage: Eukaryota; Metazoa; Chordata; Actinopteri; Cypriniformes; Cyprinidae.